GAUGAACGCUAGCGGCAGGCUUAACACAUGCAAGUCGAGGGGUAUUUAUCUUCGGAUAGAGAGACCGGCGCACGGGUGCGUAACGCGUAUGCAAUCUACCUUUUACAGAGGGAUAGCCCAGAGAAAUUUGGAUUAAUACCUCAUAGUAUAUAGACUCGGCAUCGAGAUUAUAUUAAAGUCACAACGGUAAAAGAUGAGCAUGCGUCCCAUUAGCUAGUUGGUAAGGUAACGGCUUACCAAGGCUACGAUGGGUAGGGGUCCUGAGAGGGAGAUCCCCCACACUGGUACUGAGACACGGACCAGACUCCUACGGGAGGCAGCAGUGAGGAAUAUUGGACAAUGGGCGCAAGCCUGAUCCAGCCAUGCCGCGUGCAGGAUGACGGUCCUAUGGAUUGUAAACUGCUUUUAUACGAGAAGAAACACUGCUACGUGUAGCAGCUUGACGGUAUCGUAAGAAUAAGGAUCGGCUAACUCCGUG
This 478-nucleotide ribosomal RNA is filed under the name uncultured bacterium. Its description in RNAcentral is "partial 16S ribosomal RNA". It matches the Rfam family "Bacterial small subunit ribosomal RNA", at positions 28 to 507 of the family's 1533-position model. The record is from RNAcentral.